This 353-nucleotide long non-coding RNA is filed under the name Homo sapiens (human). Its description in RNAcentral is "non-protein coding lnc-ASB3-1:3". Lineage: Eukaryota; Metazoa; Chordata; Mammalia; Primates; Hominidae. The record is from RNAcentral.
AUUGAUCUUGGCUUAAGUACUGGUCCUGAAUUUAUCAAACUCGUUGUAAAAUGAGUUAAAAGUGAGGCUGAGCGCAGGGCCAAAACAAGGCUGAGACAAAACAUUCUUCCUUUAACUUGUCUGUGUUUCCCAGAGAAUGUGUUCUCAUUAUUUUGUCUGCUGUUUUGUACCUUUGGACAUUCCACCAAUGAUGAAAUUCAGACAGUUCUAUCAGAUUUCGCUUCAAAAAUUUUGGACCUUUGUUACUAGGUACAUAAACAUCUGAGGUGUUUAUUGGAGCUCUUUGCCUAGAACUGAUAAUUGGAUUCAUGGUAUUCUGGAGAACAAGAAGAAACUACCUCAAUGACCUUGGC